GGUUAAGCGACUAAGCGUACACGGUGGAUGCCCUGGCAGUCAGAGGCGAUGAAGGACGUGCUAAUCUGCGAUAAGCGCCGGUAAGGUGAUAUGAACCGUUAUAACCGGCGAUUUCCGAAUGGGGAAACCCAGUGUGAUUCGUCACACUAUCAUUAACUGAAUCCAUAGGUUAAUGAGGCGAACCGGGGGAACUGAAACAUCUAAGUACCCCGAGGAAAAGAAAUCAACCGAGAUUCCCCCAGUAGCGGCGAGCGAACGGGGAGGAGCCCAGAGCCUGAAUCAGCAUGUGUGUUAGUGGAAGCGUCUGGAAAGGCGCGCGAUACAGGGUGACAGCCCCGUACACAAAAGCGCAUGUGCUGUGAGCUCGAUGAGUAGGGCGGGACACGUGGUAUCCUGUCUGAAUAUGGGGGGACCAUCCUCCAAGGCUAAAUACUCCUGACUGACCGAUAGUGAACCAGUACCGUGAGGGAAAGGCGAAAAGAACCCCGGCGAGGGGAGUGAAAAAGAACCUGAAACCGUGUACGUACAAGCAGUGGGAGCACAGGUUUACCUGUGUGACUGCGUACCUUUUGUAUAAUGGGUCAGCGACUUAUAUUCUGUAGCAAGGUUAACCGAAUAGGGGAGCCGGAGGGAAACCGAGUCUUAAUUGGGCGUUAAGUUGCAGGGUAUAGACCCGAAACCCGGUGAUCUAGCCAUGGGCAGGUUGAAGGUUGGGUAACACUAACUGGAGGACCGAACCGACUAAUGUUGAAAAAUUAGCGGAUGACCUGUGGCUGGGGGUGAAAGGCCAAUCAAACCGGGAGAUAGCUGGUUCUCCCCGAAAGCUAUUUAGGUAGCGCCUCGUGAAUUCAUCUCCGGGGGUAGAGCACUGUUUCGGCUAGGGGGCCAUCCCGGCUUACCAACCCGAUGCAAACUGCGAAUACCGGAGAAUGUUAUCACGGGAGACACACGGCGGGUGCUAACGUCCGUCGUGAAGAGGGAAACAACCCAGACCGCCAGCUAAGGUCCCAAAGUCAUGGUUAAGUGGGAAACGAUGUGGGAAGGCCCAGACAGCCAGGAUGUUGGCUUAGAAGCAGCCAUCAUUUAAAGAAAGCGUAAUAGCUCACUGGUCGAGUCGGCCUGCGCGGAAGAUGUAACGGGGCUAAACCAUGCACCGAAGCUGCGGCAGCGACACUGUGUGUUGUUGGGUAGGGGAGCGUUCUGUAAGCCUGUGAAGGUGUGUCGUGAGGCAUGCUGGAGGUAUCAGAAGUGCGAAUGCUGACAUAAGUAACGAUAAAGCGGGUGAAAAGCCCGCUCGCCGGAAGACCAAGGGUUCCUGUCCAACGUUAAUCGGGGCAGGGUGAGUCGACCCCUAAGGCGAGGCCGAAAGGCGUAGUCGAUGGGAAACAGGUUAAUAUUCCUGUACUUGGUGUUACUGCGAAGGGGGGACGGAGAAGGCUAUGUUGGCCGGGCGACGGUUGUCCCGGUUUAAGCGUGUAGGCUGGUUUUCCAGGCAAAUCCGGAAAAUCAAGGCUGAGGCGUGAUGACGAGGCACUACGGUGCUGAAGCAACAAAUGCCCUGCUUCCAGGAAAAGCCUCUAAGCAUCAGGUAACAUCAAAUCGUACCCCAAACCGACACAGGUGGUCAGGUAGAGAAUACCAAGGCGCUUGAGAGAACUCGGGUGAAGGAACUAGGCAAAAUGGUGCCGUAACUUCGGGAGAAGGCACGCUGACACGUAGGUGAAGUGAUUUACUCACGGAGCUGAAGUCAGUCGAAGAUACCAGCUGGCUGCAACUGUUUAUUAAAAACACAGCACUGUGCAAACACGAAAGUGGACGUAUACGGUGUGACGCCUGCCCGGUGCCGGAAGGUUAAUUGAUGGGGUCAGCGCAAGCGAAGCUCCUGAUCGAAGCCCCGGUAAACGGCGGCCGUAACUAUAACGGUCCUAAGGUAGCGAAAUUCCUUGUCGGGUAAGUUCCGACCUGCACGAAUGGCGUAAUGAUGGCCAGGCUGUCUCCACCCGAGACUCAGUGAAAUUGAACUCGCUGUGAAGAUGCAGUGUACCCGCGGCAAGACGGAAAGACCCCGUGAACCUUUACUAUAGCUUGACACUGAACAUUGAGCCUUGAUGUGUAGGAUAGGUGGGAGGCUUUGAAGCGUGGACGCCAGUCUGCGUGGAGCCGACCUUGAAAUACCACCCUUUAAUGUUUGAUGUUCUAACGUGGACCCGUAAUCCGGGUUGCGGACAGUGUCUGGUGGGUAGUUUGACUGGGGCGGUCUCCUCCUAAAGAGUAACGGAGGAGCACGAAGGUUGGCUAAUCCUGGUCGGACAUCAGGAGGUUAGUGCAAUGGCAUAAGCCAGCUUGACUGCGAGCGUGACGGCGCGAGCAGGUGCGAAAGCAGGUCAUAGUGAUCCGGUGGUUCUGAAUGGAAGGGCCAUCGCUCAACGGAUAAAAGGUACUCCGGGGAUAACAGGCUGAUACCGCCCAAGAGUUCAUAUCGACGGCGGUGUUUGGCACCUCGAUGUCGGCUCAUCACAUCCUGGGGCUGAAGUAGGUCCCAAGGGUAUGGCUGUUCGCCAUUUAAAGUGGUACGCGAGCUGGGUUUAGAACGUCGUGAGACAGUUCGGUCCCUAUCUGCCGUGGGCGCUGGAGAACUGAGGGGGGCUGCUCCUAGUACGAGAGGACCGGAGUGGACGCAUCACUGGUGUUCGGGUUGUCAUGCCAAUGGCACUGCCCGGUAGCUAAAUGCGGAAGAGAUAAGUGCUGAAAGCAUCUAAGCACGAAACUUGCCCCGAGAUGAGUUCUCCCUGAGACUUUAAGUCUCCUGAAGGAACGUUGAAGACGACGACGUUGAUAGGCCGGGUGUGUAAGCGCAGCGAUGCGUUGAGCUAACCGGUACUAAUGAACCGUGAGGCUUAACCUU
RNAcentral lists this ribosomal RNA (2905 nucleotides) under Salmonella enterica subsp. enterica serovar Newport. RNAcentral describes it as "23S ribosomal RNA". It matches the Rfam family "Bacterial large subunit ribosomal RNA". Lineage: Bacteria; Pseudomonadati; Pseudomonadota; Gammaproteobacteria; Enterobacterales; Enterobacteriaceae. The record is from RNAcentral.